Molecule: ribosomal RNA, 433 nt
Filed under: uncultured bacterium
Lineage: Bacteria
Description: partial 16S ribosomal RNA
Rfam family: Bacterial small subunit ribosomal RNA
Source: RNAcentral
AGCGAACGCUGGCGGCAGGCCUAACACAUGCAAGUCGAACGGAUCCUUCGGGAUUAGUGGCGGACGGGUGAGUAACACGUGGGAACGUGCCCUUUGGUUCGGAACAACUCAGGGAAACUUGAGCUAAUACCGGAUGUGCCCUUCGGGGGAAAGAUUUAUCGCCAUUGGAGCGGCCCGCGUCUGAUUAGCUAGUUGGUGAGGUAACGGCCCACCAAGGCGACGAUCAGUAGCUGGUCUGAGAGGAUGAUCAGCCACACUGGGGCUGAGACACGGCCCAGACUCCUACGGGAGGCAGCAGUGGGGAAUCUUGCGCAAUGGGCGAAAGCCUGACGCAGCCAUGCCGCGUGAAUGAUGAAGGUCUUAGGAUUGUAAAAUUCUUUCAGCGGGGACGAUAAUGACGGUACCUGCAGAAGAAGCGCCGGCUAACUUCGUG